GUGUGACUGCGUACCUUUUGUAUAAUGGGUCAGCGACUUAUAUUCUGUAGCAAGGUUAACCGAAUAGGGGAGCCGAAGGGAAACCGAGUCUUAACUGGGCGUUAAGUUGCAGGGUAUAGACCCGAAACCCGGUGAUCUAGCCAUGGGCAGGUUGAAGGUUGGGUAACACUAACUGGAGGACCGAACCGACUAAUGUUGAAAAAUUAGCGGAUGACUUGUGGCUGGGGGUGAAAGGCCAAUCAAACCGGGAGAUAGCUGGUUCUCCCCGAAAGCUAUUUAGGUAGCGCCUCGUGAAUUCAUCUCCGGGGGUAGAGCACUGUUUCGGCAAGGGGGUCAUCCCGACUUACCAACCCGAUGCAAACUGCGAAUACCGGAGAAUGUUAUCACGGGAGACACACGGCGGGUGCUAACGUCCGUCGUGAAGAGGGAAACAACCCAGACCGCCAGCUAAGGUCCCAAAGUCAUGGUUAAGUGGGAAACGAUGUGGGAAGGCCCAGACAGCCAGGAUGUUGGCUUAGAAGCAGCCAUCAUUUAAAGAAAGCGUAAUAGCUCACUGGUCGAGUCGGCCUGCGCGGAAGAUGUAACGGGGCUAAACCAUGCACCGAAGCUGCGGCAGCGACGCUGAUGCGUUGUUGGGUAGGGGAGCGUUCUGUAAGCCUGCGAAGGUGUGCUGUGAGGCAUGCUGGAGGUAUCAGAAGUGCGAAUGCUGACAUAAGUAACGAUAAAGCGGGUGAAAAGCCCGCUCGCCGGAAGACCAAGGGUUCCUGUCCAACGUUAAUCGGGGCAGGGUGAGUCGACCCCUAAGGCGAGGCCGAAAGGCGUAGUCGAUGGGAAACAGGUUAAUAUUCCUGUACUUGGUGUUACUGCGAAGGGGGGACGGAGAAGGCUAUGUUGGCCGGGCGACGGUUGUCCCGGUUUAAGCGUGUAGGCUGGUUUUCCAGGCAAAUCCGGAAAACUAAGGCUGAGGCGUGAUGACGAGGCACUACGGUGCUGAAGCAACAAAUGCCCUGCUUCCAGGAAAAGCCUCUAAGCAUCAGGUAACAUCAAAUCGUACCCCAAACCGACACAGGUGGUCAGGUAGAGAAUACCAAGGCGCUUGAGAGAACUCGGGUGAAGGAACUAGGCAAAAUGGUGCCGUAACUUCGGGAGAAGGCACGCUGAUAUGUAGGUGAAGUCCCUCGCGGAUGGAGCUGAAAUCAGUCGAAGAUACCAGCUGGCUGCAACUGUUUAUUAAAAACACAGCACUGUGCAAACACGAAAGUGGACGUAUACGGUGUGACGCCUGCCCGGUGCCGGAAGGUUAAUUGAUGGGGUCAGCGCAAGCGAAGCUCUUGAUCGAAGCCCCGGUAAACGGCGGCCGUAACUAUAACGGUCCUAAGGUAGCGAAAUUCCUUGUCGGGUAAGUUCCGACCUGCACGAAUGGCGUAAUGAUGGCCAGGCUGUCUCCACCCGAGACUCAGUGAAAUUGAACUCGCUGUGAAGAUGCAGUGUACCCGCGGCAAGACGGAAAGACCCCGUGAACCUUUACUAUAGCUUGACACUGAACAUUGAGCCUUGAUGUGUAGGAUAGGUGGGAGGCUUUGAAGUGUGGACGCCAGUCUGCAUGGAGCCGACCUUGAAAUACCACCCUUUAAUGUUUGAUGUUCUAACGUGGACCCGUAAUCCGGGUUGCGGACAGUGUCUGGUGGGUAGUUUGACUGGGGCGGUCUCCUCCUAAAGAGUAACGGAGGAGCACGAAGGUUGGCUAAUCCUGGUCGGACAUCAGGAGGUUAGUGCAAUGGCAUAAGCCAGCUUGACUGCGAGCGUGACGGCGCGAGCAGGUGCGAAAGCAGGUCAUAGUGAUCCGGUGGUUCUGAAUGGAAGGGCCAUCGCUCAACGGAUAAAAGGUACUCCGGGGAUAACAGGCUGAUACCGCCCAAGAGUUCAUAUCGACGGCGGUGUUUGGCACCUCGAUGUCGGCUCAUCACAUCCUGGGGCUGAAGUAGGUCCCAAGGGUAUGGCUGUUCGCCAUUUAAAGUGGUACGCGAGCUGGGUUUAGAACGUCGUGAGACAGUUCGGUCCCUAUCUGCCGUGGGCGCUGGAGAA
Molecule: ribosomal RNA, 2085 nt
Filed under: Escherichia coli
Lineage: Bacteria; Pseudomonadati; Pseudomonadota; Gammaproteobacteria; Enterobacterales; Enterobacteriaceae
Description: bacterial LSU rRNA
Rfam family: Bacterial large subunit ribosomal RNA
Source: RNAcentral